This 83-nucleotide small RNA is filed under the name Marmota monax (woodchuck). The record is from RNAcentral. Lineage: Eukaryota; Metazoa; Chordata; Mammalia; Rodentia; Sciuridae.
GCCAGGUGUGGUAGCGCACGCCUAUAAUCCCAGCAUCUUGGGAGGCUGAGGCAGGAGGACUCUGAGUUCAAAGCCAGCCUCAG